This 774-nucleotide non-coding RNA is filed under the name Aclees taiwanensis. The record is from RNAcentral. Lineage: Eukaryota; Metazoa; Arthropoda; Insecta; Coleoptera; Curculionidae.
UUAAAGUUUUUUAGCUUUAUUUUAUUAUGUAAAAUUGUUGUAUAUGUAAAUUUAAGAAGUAAUAAAAAAUAUUUUUAAAUAAAAUAUUAUUAUAUUUAAGUCGCAGUAGAUAAUUUUAUUUAUUUAAGAGAUUAAGAAAUAGUUAUUUUUUUAGUAUAAACAAAUUUUGUGCCAGCAGUUGCGGUUAGACAAAAUAUACAAUAAUAAAUGUUUAGUUAUAGUAAAUUAUUAAUAUUAGAAUAUUAUAGUAAGAUUUAUUAAGUGAAAUUUUAAAUUUUUAUAAUUUUAUAGAUUGAUUUUAAAACUAAAAAAUUUUUAUAGAAGACUAGGAUUAGAUACCCUAUUAUUAAGAAUAAUAAAAGAAAACUAAAUUAGUAGUAGUUAUGUUCUUUAAAAUUAAAAAAAUUGGCGGUAUUUUAGUCUAUUCAGAGGAACCUGUCCUAUAAUUGAUAUUCCACGUUUUUAUUUACUUAUUUUUAAUUUGCAUAUCGCCGUAGGUUGAAUAUUUUUAUAGAAUUAUAAUGUUCAGGAUUUUAAAAGAAAAUAAAUCAGGUCAAGGUGUAGUUUAUAGAUAAGAAGAGAUGGGUUACAAUAAAUUUAUUUAUAUGGAAAUGUUUUUUUAAAAUAAUAUUGAAGGUGGAUUUGAAAGUAAUUUUAUAAAAAUUUAUAAGAUGAUUUUAGCUCUAAAAUAUGUACAUAUCGCCCGUCGCUUUCACUUUAAAGUGAAAUAAGUCGUAACAUAGUAGGUGUACCGGAAGGUGCACCUAGAAAGGA